UUUGUUGUAUGGAAAGGUCUAAGUUGUGAAUUUGAGCGGACAAUACUAACUUGCAUGUUUCUAAGGGUGCAGGAGAGAAUGAGGAUCCAUUAUGCAAGUUUUUAAGGUCAUUUGAAGUUCUUCAUUUGAAUCCUCCCAUAUGAAAUAUGAGCAACGCAAAAUGCCAACUGAUUCUGAAACCUGCAUUGUGGAUCAUGCUGAUGUCUUCUUGAUGUCUCUUUUGUCCUCCUGGACCUGGAACCAGACUUAACAAAUACAUGACGAGGUUCAGAGCAAGGUCAAGGAGCAAGGUUUUUCAGUCACACUAGCUGCAAACCUUCUUUCACCCACACCCUGGAGGUGGUGGGUACCUAGAAGGUGGCAGGUGAUUUUCUCUCGUGGUCUAUGUUUGCAGGUUUUCUACUUCAAUCUAACUUUCAGCUGGUUCUUCAUUGCCAAGUAGAACAAGACACUGGGUUGUGAAUCUCGGAGCGAGUCAAAUGACAAAAAGCUGGAGUGCAGCAGCAGGCAUGUUCUAAUGAUUUAGAGAAAUCUGAUCUCUUUUUCUCUGGGAUAUUUUGUAUCAAAUUGAGAAUGCCACAAUGACUAGCUGAGAAGAGAGAAGAGCCACAAACUAUGUUUAUUCCU
This is a long non-coding RNA of Harpia harpyja (harpy eagle), 627 nucleotides long. RefSeq lists it as uncharacterized. NCBI's taxonomy places the organism in Eukaryota, Metazoa, Chordata, Aves, Accipitriformes, Accipitridae. The transcript has 2 exons. The record is from RefSeq and is a predicted model, not a curated record.